AGCGAACGCUGGCGGCAGGCUUAACACAUGCAAGUCGAGCGGGCCUUUCGGGGUCAGCGGCGGACGGGUGAGUAACGCGUGGGAACGUGCCCUCUGGUUCGGAAUAACUCAGGGAAACUUGAGCUAAUACCGGAUACGCCCUUUUGGGGAAAGGCUUGCUGCCGGAGGAUCGGCCCGCGUCUGAUUAGCUAGUUGGUGAGGUAACGGCUCACCAAGGCGACGAGCAGUAGCUGGUCUGAGAGGAUGAUCAGCCACACUGGGACUGAGACACGGCCCAGACUCCUACGGGAGGCAGCAGUGGGGAAUAUUGGACAAUGGGCGCAAGCCUGAUCCAGCCAUGACGCGUGAGUGAUGAAGGCCUUAGGGUUGUAAAGCUCUUUUAUCCGGGACGAUAAUGACGGUACCGGAGGAAUAAGCCCCGGCUAACUUCGUG
This 433-nucleotide ribosomal RNA is filed under the name uncultured bacterium. Its description in RNAcentral is "partial 16S ribosomal RNA". It matches the Rfam family "Bacterial small subunit ribosomal RNA", at positions 29 to 507 of the family's 1533-position model. The record is from RNAcentral.